Molecule: microRNA precursor, 60 nt
Filed under: Ornithorhynchus anatinus (platypus)
Lineage: Eukaryota; Metazoa; Chordata; Mammalia; Monotremata; Ornithorhynchidae
Description: Oan-Mir-190-P3_pre stem-loop
Source: RNAcentral
UGAUAUGUUUGAUAUUAGGUUGUUACGCUAGACCUCACCUGAAUAUCAGACAUAUUCCUA